This 374-nucleotide ribosomal RNA is filed under the name Escherichia coli. RNAcentral describes it as "partial 23S ribosomal RNA". It matches the Rfam family "Bacterial large subunit ribosomal RNA", at positions 165 to 577 of the family's 2925-position model. Lineage: Bacteria; Pseudomonadati; Pseudomonadota; Gammaproteobacteria; Enterobacterales; Enterobacteriaceae. The record is from RNAcentral.
CAUAGGUUAAUGAGGCGAACCGGGGGAACUGAAACAUCUAAGUACCCCGAGGAAAAGAAAUCAACCGAGAUUCCCCCAGUAGCGGCGAGCGAACGGGGAGCAGCCCAGAGCCUGAAUCAGUAUGUGUGUUAGUGGAAGCGUCUGGAAAGGCGCGCGAUACAGGGUGACAGCCCCGUACACAAAAAUGCACAUGCUGUGAGCUCGAUGAGUAGGGCGGGACACGUGGUAUCCUGUCUGAAUAUGGGGGGACCAUCCUCCAAGGCUAAAUACUCCUGACUGACCGAUAGUGAACCAGUACCGUGAGGGAAAGGCGAAAAGAACCCCGGCGAGGGGAGUGAAAAAGAACCUGAAACCGUGUACGUACAAGCAGUGGG